GUGGUCAAGCUACAAAGGGCUGAUGGUGGAUACCUAGGCACACAGAGGCGAAGAAGGACGUGGUUACCGACGAUAUGCCCCGGGGAGCUGGAAGCAAGCAUUGAUCCGGGGGUUUCCGAAUGGGGCAACCCUAAAGAUGGCUGUCUGAAUCCAUAGGACAGCACAAGCGAACGCAGCGAACUGAAACAUCUUAGUAGCUGUAGGAGAAGAAAGAAAACUCGAUUCCCCUAGUAGCGGCGAGCGAAGCGGGAAGAGCCUAAACCAGAAGUUUUAACUUCUGGGGUUGUGGGACAGCGAUAUGGAAUCUGGCCGCUAGACGAAGCAGCUGAAUACUGCACCAGAGGAGGUGAAAGUCCUGUAGUCGAAAGCGUAAGGAUACUAGCUGGAUCCCGAGUAGCCUGGAGCACGUGGAAUUCCGGGUGAAUCAGCGAGGACCACCUCGUAAGGCUAAAUACUCCUGUGUGACCGAUAGCGAAACAGUACCGCGAGGGAACGGUGAAAAGAACCCCGGGAGGGGAGUGAAAUAGAACAUGAAACCAUCAGCUUACAAGCAAUCGAAGCCCGAUUAAACGGGUGACGGUGUGCCUGUUGAAGAAUGAGCCGGCGACUUAUAGGCACUGGUAGGUUAAGACGGGAAUGUCGAAGCCAAAGCGAAAGCGAGUCUGAAUAGGGCGUUAAUCAGUGGUUAUAGACCCGAACCCGGGUGAUCUAACCAUGGCCAGGAUGAAGCUUGGGUAAAGCCAAGUGGAGGUCCGAACCGACCAAUGUUGAAAAAUUGGCGGAUGAGCUGUGGUUAGGGGUGAAAUGCCAAUCGAACCCGGAGCUAGCUGGUUCUCCCCGAAAUGUGUUGAGGCGCAGCGGUCAUGAUUAUAGUCUGGGGGUAAAGCACUGAUUCGGUGCGGGCUGCGAGAGCGGUACCAAAUCGAGUCAAACUCUGAAUACCAGAUGAACACAUGGCUAGUGAGACGGUGGGGGAUAAGCUUCAUCGUCAAGAGGGAAACAGCCCAGACCACCAGCUAAGGUCCCCAAAUCACAGUUCAGUGAUAAAGGAGGUGGGAGUGCAUAGACAACCAGGAGGUUUGCCUAGAAGCAGCCAUCCUUAAAAGAGUGCGUAAUAGCUCACUGGUCAAGCGCUCCUGCGCCGAAAAUGAACGGGGCUAAACUGUGUACCGAAGCUGUGGGAUAUAUCUAUCGAUGUAUCGGUAGGGGAGCGUUCCGUGGUAGUUAGAAGCAUUAGCGAGAGCAGGUGUGGACGAAACGGAAGUGAGAAUGUCGGCUUGAGUAGCGCAAACAUUGGUGAGAAUCCAAUGCCCCGAAAUCCUAAGGGUUCCUCCGGAAGGCUCGUCCGCGGAGGGUUAGUCGGGACCUAAGGCGAGGCCGAAUGGCGUAGUCGAUGGACAACCGGUCAACAUUCCGGUACCGAUUUUGGAUUGUGCAGAGGGACGGAGAAGGCUAGCACAGCCGCAUGUUGGUUAGCGGUUUAAGCAUCCGAGGCGAUGAGAGACGGUGAAAACGUCUUGAGCGAAGGUGUGAGUACGAGAGUCUACGGACUCGAAGUGUGUGAUGUCAAGCUUCCAAGAAAAGCUCUAACCACGUUAAUCCAAAAUUGCCCGUACUCGAAACCGACACAGGUGGGAUGGUUGAGAAUACUCAGGGGCGCGAGAUAACUCUCUCUAAGGAACUCGGCAAAAUGGCCCCGUAACUUCGGAAGAAGGGGUGCCAGCGAGAGCUGGUCGCAGUGAAGAGGCCCAGGCGACUGUUUACCAAAAACACAGGUCUCCGCGAAGUCGUAAGACGAUGUAUGGGGGCUGACGCCUGCCCAGUGCCGGAAGGUUAAGGAAGUCGGUUAGGGGAAACCCAACGCUGGCGACCGAAGCCCCGGUGAACGGCGGCCGUAACUAUAACGGUCCUAAGGUAGCGAAAUUCCUUGUCGGGUAAGUUCCGACCCGCACGAAAGGCGUAACGAUCUGGGCGCUGUCUCGGAGAGAGGCUCGGCGAAAUAGGAUUGUCUGUGAAGAUACGGACUACCUGCACCUGGACAGAAAGACCCUAUGAAGCUUUACUGUAGCCUGGAAUUGGGUUCGGGCUUUGACUGCGCAGGAUAGGUGGGAGACUAUGAGACAUCCCUUGUGGGGGAUGUGGAGUCAUCAGUGAGAUACCACUCUGUCAAGGCUAGAAUUCUAACUCAUUGCCGUGAUCCGGCAUGGGAACAGUUUCAGGUGGGCAGUUUGACUGGGGCG
Molecule: ribosomal RNA, 2240 nt
Filed under: Leptolyngbya sp. IPPAS B-1204
Lineage: Bacteria; Bacillati; Cyanobacteriota; Cyanophyceae; Leptolyngbyales; Leptolyngbyaceae
Description: bacterial LSU rRNA
Rfam family: Bacterial large subunit ribosomal RNA
Source: RNAcentral